UACGUAGGGGGCUAGCGUUGUCCGGAAUCAUUGGGCGUAAAGAGCGUGUAGGCGGUCAGGUAGGUCGGUUGUGAAAACUGGAGGCUCAACCUUCAGAGGUCGACCGAAACCCCCUGGCUAGAGUCCGGGAGAGGAGAGUGGAAUUCCUGGUGUAGCGGUGAAAUGCGCAGAUAUCAGGAAGAACACCCGUGGCGAAAGCGGCUCUCUGGAACGGUACUGACGCUGAGGAGCGAAAGCAUGGGGAGCGAACAGG
RNAcentral lists this ribosomal RNA (253 nucleotides) under uncultured bacterium. Its description in RNAcentral is "partial 16S ribosomal RNA". It matches the Rfam family "Bacterial small subunit ribosomal RNA", at positions 524 to 776 of the family's 1533-position model. The record is from RNAcentral.